AUCGGUGCAGGAUGGGCCCGCGGCCGUAUCAGCUUGUUGGUGGGGGUAAGUGGCCUACCAAGGCGACGACGGGUAGGCCGACCUGAGAGGGUGACCGGCCACACUGGGACUGAGACACGGCCCAGACUCCUACGGGAGGGCAGCAGUGGGGAAGUAUUGCACAAUGGGCGGAAGCCUGAUGCAGCGACGCCGCGUGAGGGAUGAAGGCCUUCGGGUUGUAAACCUCUUUCAGCAGGGACGAAGCGUGAGUGACGGUACCUGCAGAAGAAGCACCGGCUAACUACGUGCCAG
This 291-nucleotide ribosomal RNA is filed under the name uncultured Bacillus sp. Its description in RNAcentral is "partial 16S ribosomal RNA". It matches the Rfam family "Bacterial small subunit ribosomal RNA", at positions 214 to 511 of the family's 1533-position model. Lineage: Bacteria; Bacillati; Bacillota; Bacilli; Caryophanales; Bacillaceae. The record is from RNAcentral.